RNAcentral lists this ribosomal RNA (492 nucleotides) under uncultured bacterium. Its description in RNAcentral is "partial 16S ribosomal RNA". It matches the Rfam family "Bacterial small subunit ribosomal RNA", at positions 29 to 507 of the family's 1533-position model. The record is from RNAcentral.
AGUGAACGCUGGCGGUAGGCCUAACACAUGCAAGUCGAACGGCAGCACAGUAAGAGCUUGCUCUUACGGGUGGCGAGUGGCGGACGGGUGAGGAAUACAUCGGAAUCUACUUUUUCGUGGGGGAUAACGUAGGGAAACUUACGCUAAUACCGCAUACGACCUACGGGUGAAAGCAGGGGAUCUUCGGACCUUGCGCGAUUGAAUGAGCCGAUGUCGGAUUAGCUAGUUGGCGGGGUAAAGGCCCACCAAGGCGACGAUCCGUAGCUGGUAUGAGGGGAUGAUUCGACAGCUUGGAACUGAGAAAGGGCAGCGACACUGACGGGAGGAAGCAGUGGGGAAUCUUGGACAAGGGGGGAAAGCCUGAUCCAGCAAUACCGCGUGGGUGAAGAAGGACUUAGGGUUGUAAAGCCAUUUUGUUGGGAAAGAAAAGCAGCAGGUUAAUACCCCGCUGUUCUGACGGUACCCAAAGAAUAAGCACCGGCUAACUUCGUG